Molecule: non-coding RNA, 375 nt
Organism: Archocentrus centrarchus (flier cichlid)
Lineage: Eukaryota; Metazoa; Chordata; Actinopteri; Cichliformes; Cichlidae
Source: the annotation of a RefSeq genome assembly
AAGAUGCUGUCACUGCAUUACUGGCUCAUGUUUCCUUUGUUUCUGAUCACACUAACAGGUGUCAGCUGUGAAGAACUCACUCCACUCACGGAGGAAUUUUACAGUUUGGAAGGCAACACUGUUACUCUGUCCUACAAAUACUCCAGAGCUGCUCGUUAUGAUGAUCAUUUCUUCUGGUAUCAGCAAUAUCCAGGAAAACCACCAGAGUACCUCUUCUACAUCUCAGGGCUCAAUAAUUCAAGACCAGGGGAGACUCUAGAAUCAGCCAUGAGGUUCUCCACAAAACUGCUUGGAGAAAAUCGUCUGGAUCUUCAGAUCUCCUCUGCUGCAGUGACAGACUCUGCUGUGUACUACUGUGCUGUGAGGCCCACAGUG